GAAACCCUAUUAACUAGUCGGGCUGAGUCGGAUAUAGUUGGCAUGCCAUAGGAUUGGAAGAGUUCAGGGAUACUUCGACCUUGAGUCGAUGAGACACUGGGUGUCACUAUAUUUCUUCGGAUAGAUUCGAUGAGGUACUGGGUACCAACUUUCUUCGGCUUUGCCGAUGAGACACUGGGUGUCAACUAUUGCUUCGAACUAUCCGAUGAGGCACUGGGUGCCAUUCUGGUGUGUUUGGUUGGAUCCGUGUAUCCGCCAAGGUCCGAGUCUUGUUAAUAGGGGUAAAUAAUUGAAAUGAGAAAAUUGAAUAAAUGUGAUUGAUUGAGCUAUGGGAAGAAACGAAAAAGUGAAGUUGUGAAUUGAUGUGUGAAUUGGAA
Molecule: long non-coding RNA, 377 nt
Filed under: Gossypium barbadense (sea-island cotton)
Lineage: Eukaryota; Viridiplantae; Streptophyta; Magnoliopsida; Malvales; Malvaceae
Description: long non-coding RNA (GBAR_LNC016256)
Source: RNAcentral